RNAcentral lists this long non-coding RNA (1001 nucleotides) under Callithrix jacchus (white-tufted-ear marmoset). RNAcentral's name for it is "lncRNA (ENSCJAG00000054925.2)". The record is from RNAcentral. Lineage: Eukaryota; Metazoa; Chordata; Mammalia; Primates; Cebidae.
UCCAUCAUUGUCAAUUCACCUUAAAUUCUUGACUCUUUCCUCUUCAAGGGUGUUUCUGAAAGCAAAAGCUCUGUGUCCACACUACAUUAAGUAAACAACAGCCCUCUUACUGUGGUCUGACUGUUUAUGUCCCCCCAAAAUUUAUAUAUUGAAAUCUAAUCACCACAGUGAUAGAAUGAGGUCAUAGAUAGGAUGAGGUCAUGAGGGUGGAACCCUCAUGGUUGGGCUUAUUUCCAUACAAAAGACAUAUAGAGAGCUACCUAAUCUCUUCAAUGGUGUAAGGACAGAGUGAGAAGGUGCCAUCUAUGAGCCAGGAAACAGGCUCUCGUCAGACACCAAUGCAGCCAGUGACUUGCUCUUGAACUUCCCAGCCUCCAGAACUGAAACGAAUGUCAUCAUUGAAGAAUUUUGUCCUUCUGACCUAUUUGAGUACAGUCUGAGAAGAUGCAUUGUAGAACACUUUGGAAAUUUGUCCAUGCUGACCUUCAUGGUAACACAAAAGAUGAAGGAGUGUGUGUCUUCAGGAAGGUCUCGUUCAGCGGGAUUGCAUAGGCCAUUUUCUGAGGAGGUGCCCUUCCUUCUGCAUUGGCUUAUUCCAUCCACGGAGAUGUCCCAGAAGCCUUCACCAGCAGCAAUGGCACAGAGACGGUCAUCCCUUAAGGAAAAUAUGGGCCCAGUCCUCUGCUAAACAGAAACUAUCUUCCAUCUACCAAGAGAAGGACUGAUUUUCUAAGAAUCAGAAUGGAAUUGUGGAAACCAUCUGAAUACAGGAGAAAGGUGGACAGCUUCUUACAGUGCACUUACGUGAAAUUUCAUCUUCUCUGUAAUCAGAUAAAAUGAAUAAAGCGAGUUUCUCAUGUUCAUUGCCAAUGCUUACAAGAAACACUAUUUGGAGUGAUUAUUAGCAAAUCCAGCAGCUUAUGUUGCACUGCUUGGGAUUUAAACUGAUCGCUUAACACUUCUCCAAAUCUCUUUCACCGUUUCAGUAAUUAGGAAACAAU